UACGUGGGCAGCAAGCGUUGUUCGGAGUUACUGGGCGUAAAGGGUGUGUAGGCGGUUCUUUAAGUUUGGUGUGAAAUCUCCCGGCUCAACCGGGAGGGUGCGCCGAAAACUGAAGGGCUAGAGUGCGGGAGAGGAGAGUGGAAUUCCUGGUGUAGCGGUGAAAUGCGUAGAUAUCAGGAGGAACACCGGUGGUGUAAACGGCUCUCUGGACCGUAACUGACGCUGAGACACGAAAGCGUGGGUAGCAAACAGG
This 253-nucleotide ribosomal RNA is filed under the name uncultured bacterium. RNAcentral describes it as "partial 16S ribosomal RNA". It matches the Rfam family "Bacterial small subunit ribosomal RNA", at positions 524 to 776 of the family's 1533-position model. The record is from RNAcentral.